Long non-coding RNA from Balaenoptera musculus (blue whale), 2524 nucleotides. RefSeq lists it as uncharacterized. The transcript has 2 exons. The record is from RefSeq and is a predicted model, not a curated record. NCBI's taxonomy places the organism in Eukaryota, Metazoa, Chordata, Mammalia, Artiodactyla, Balaenopteridae.
GUGGCAUGUGGGAUCUUCCCAGACCAGGGAUUGAACCCAUGUCCCCUGCAUUGGCAGACGGAUUCUUAACCACUGCACCACCAGGGAAGUCCCUGGACUUGUUUUAAUAGGCAUAAGUUAUGAAACAUGCCAUUAGGUAGUCAUAGACACUUCCAGGUACUUGGUGUUUUUGUUUAUUAAAUGUGUUUCUUUGGCUCUUUUGAAGCUGUAAGCUUUUUCGUUGGUUGUUUACUUUGAAUGUCCAAAGAUCUGCUACUUUAUAUAAUUUUUUUUAUAAUUUGAGGAUAGGAUUGGGGUACAACCUCUUUAGUGGUUGAUGGAAUUAAUUUCUUCCAUAAAUGUAGGCUCUUCUUGGUGAAUACAUUUAUAGACGCCAGUCUUUUAACUAGUUUAAAAGACCAGAUCAAUAUUGGAGUUGUUUACAUGGAAGUAGGCCAUUAUUUUUUAAACCUGUGCUGAGCUGAACUUUACCUUUGAACUCUUUAUGGAAAACAGGCUUAUGCAAUAAAUAUAAUCAAGAUUUUUCUUUUUACCCAUAAGUGUGUUUAAUACAUUACAGUAUGUAAGAGCUUUCACAAACGUUUUAUUAAAAUAGGUGCAGAGCAGGUUUGAGUUUCUGAAACAAGCCAACCCUAUUUAAGAACUUUACCAAAAGUAUGUAUUAUUGCUGCCAACAAUUACAAAUACAUGUUAUGACAUUUAAAAAGCUGUGCCCCUCUGUUUGUCGCUUAUGUAUUUGAAGGUAAUAAAACUGUAUUACUUUUUAAAACAUUCUAUAAUUUAGAUUUCUUACUGAUUGAGACUGGUCUUUCCUGCAGUUAAUCCGAAUGAGGAAAUCUAUGGAAAAGCUAAUGGCUUGGCGGGUAGGGGAGGUUACCUCCGUUACUAAAGAUAAGCCAUUGAAGAACUACAAGACUUACCUACGAAAGGCUUGUUUCUCAGUUUGUCAAGAGUUCUUUGCGUCAUCACUCUUUCCUAGCCCCGUAAAAAAAGUAUUUUAUUUUGUCUAGGUUUUUAUCAGACUAAAAUGUCCAAGCUCGUCAUUGAUCCAUUUAUUUUUAGUAAUAAUUUCAAUAAAAUUACAAUAUAAGCAAAAAAAAUAGGCACCUUUGGAGUAUUGUAUUAGUGAAUUGCUUGUAUACAUCACUUUAAUCAUUUGGUGAAUAUGUAUGAUGAGUGGCCCAAUAAUAGCUAAUAUUGACCAAAGAAUUAAUGCUAGGGAGAAGAAAAAAUUAGUGGUUACUCUUUCAAUAUCUAUAUAGUUAAUUCUUGAUAAUUUGUGCAUUAUUGGUAGUGGGAUAUACAUAAAUAAUAGAAACCUUUAUCAUUCAAAUCUCAAAGGCAAAAGUGUUCUAUCAAACCUUCACACAUUGUUGAUUGCUCUGGUGCUCCUCUAAUUUCCUGAUUACUUACCUAUCAGGAAAGUAUAUUCACGAUCCAUGCUAGACCUAAAGUCAGGUAGGUAAUAGGAGGAAGAUGAGGAAGAAGAAACUAAGAUGAACUUGCUGUUCUCAAAUCACUGAGAUUUGUUUCUUCUUGCAGGGAAGAUGGAUUGGAAAGGAAUCUGUGGCCUGAUAAAAUGCUGAUAGAUUUGUGCCAGCAAGUAAGGAUCUGGGGAGAAAGAGGAAGUGGGAACAAGUGGCACCUUUGAGCUGGCUAUCACACCAGUUUUGUUUGGAGUGAGGACAGGAAACAAAAAUUUGCCUUGAAGCCUUCAGGACGGAAGAGAGGCAGGGACUGAAGGAGGGAAACAGCCCCAAAGCUGCAGGCCUGUCUGAAGGCCACUGAAAGUGUGGGUGGAAACAGGUAUCCUUUCUGCGUACACCAGUAGCAACUGCUGAGGUGAGUGGAGGCGUGGGAGUUGUGGAAGAAGCACAACUACUUCUAACCCUGCUGGUGAAACUCUGUGGAGGCACUUUGAAGAAAAGGGAACAAUAAGUUAGGAAAAAUUUUAAAAGUUUGUCAGAUCCCAAUGCACUGAAAUCCUGGGGUGAGGUCCCUGAGGAACUGUAGUGCUUGGCUGAAACCAUGUGUCAUUCACAUCGAGAGCACAGUUUAAAAAAUGACAGGAACAAGGGUAAACAGUCUCUUAAUUAUGGUCUGAAAGAGAGCUGCUGUUCUCUCCAAUUAUACAAAGUCACAAGGGCUUCAACCAACAGAUGUCAACGCACACUUGAUACGAGAUGCAGGAAAGACUCAGCCUUCAUUUUGAGAAAUUUAUUAAAAUAAGAACAAGCAUCAGUUGUACAUAGAAAUAAUCAUUUGCACUAAGUGGUACUCAAGCAGAAGAGCAGUUUUAAAUAUAUUAAAAAAUCACAAAAUACAUUGGUUAAGGCACCUACAUCUUGUCUCAUGUUUUCAAUAAAUAUGCUGUUUUUUAAAAAGGCAGUAAGGACCUCUGAUUAAAUGAAUAUAGGCACUGUGCUAUUAAAGAUAGUCAUACUUUUUGCUGUGGCCACUGUGAUUUAUUCUCAAAAGAACUUUCAUUAGCUUGGUUUAGCAUUUAAAAAAACAAAGCUGAGUA